Molecule: RNA transcript, 2130 nt
Organism: Erigeron canadensis
Lineage: Eukaryota; Viridiplantae; Streptophyta; Magnoliopsida; Asterales; Asteraceae
Gene name: zinc finger CCCH domain-containing protein 48-like
Exons: 9
Source: RefSeq, a predicted model, not a curated record
AAUUAAAUAAAUAUCAUAUUUUUUCGAUUAGGGUUCUUGAUCCCCCCAAAUUUUUAAACCCUAAUCCCCCAAAAAUUCCAAACUAAUCUCUACUCUUUUUUCCCCAAAUCAUUAGGGCUUUUCAAAUUCAUUCAUUCAUGAUCACACAACAACACAUAUUUUAAUCCAUACACCUAUACAUACAAUAAUCUAUAUCUAUAUAUAUAUAUACGUAUAUACGAUGGAUUUAGAUGGAGGGAAACGUGUUUUCAACAGAUUAGGCCCAUCAUCAUCUCAUCAAAAUCAUAAUCAAAAUCAAAAUCAAAAUCAAAAUCAAAAUCAAAAAGUUUGUUAUCAUUGGAGAGCUGGAAACUGCAAUAGACAUCCAUGUCCUUUUCUACACAGAGAAUUAUCGGCACCGCCAGUUAACGGAACGACGUCGUCUAAACGUGGGUUUUCGACAGAUGAUCAGUAUCAAAGACCGAAUAAUAACAGUGUACGACGAGGCGGUUUCAGCACGUGGGGUCCACGUGGCGGUGGAAGAGGGAACGGGCCGAAUAAUAAUGGUAAUAAUAGGGUUGUUGUGAAGCAAGAAAAAAUAUGUAAUUAUUGGAUGCAAGGGAAAUGUAGCUAUGGAGAUACUUGUAGGUUUUUGCAUUCGUGGUCAACGGGGAGUUUCGGUAUGUUGACUCAUCUUGAAGGGCAUCAAAAGAUUGUGAGUGGGAUUACGUUUCCGGUUGGUUCGGAUAAGUUAUAUACUGGGAGUAAAGAUGAGACUGUGAGAGUUUGGGAUUGCCAAUCUGGACAGUGUGUAGCGGUUAUAAAUGUGGGUGGUGAGGUGGGUUGUAUGCUCAGCGAAGGGCCAUGGAUGUUUGUAGGCUUACCGAAUCUUGUCAAGGCAUGGAAUAUGCAAAAUUCAGCAGAACUGACUCUUAAUGGACCUGUUGGUCAAGUAUAUUCACUGGUUGCGGGCAAUGAUUUACUCUUCGCGGGCACACAGGAUGGGAGUAUCUUGGCAUGGAAGUAUAAUACUGUCACAAGCAACUUUGAACCAGCUGCAGCACUUCAAGGGCACACCUCAGCUGUUGUUUCACUAGUCGUUGGAGGAGCAAAAAGAUUAUACUCUGGUUCUAUGGACAAAUCUAUAAAAGUUUGGAACCUUGAGAAUUUACAGUGUCUACAAACACUGACAGACCAUACUUCUGUCGUCAUGUCAGUUCUUUGCUGGGAUCAAUUUCUUUUAUCAUGUUCACUGGACAAAACAAUAAAGAUUUGGGUGGCUAAUAGUAGUGGAGACUUGGAAGUUACUUACACGCAUACCGAGGAACAUUUGAUAUGGUCAAUCCAAAGGGCCUGAAGGACAUCAAACACCCUGGAUAAAUGGUGAAGAACGUUAGGGAGGACAUGGACCUCCACAUCUGCACGUACCAACUACUAAGAUGAUGUGGAUUCUUAUGUGACAAUAAUCUGCUUUCCCAAUUCAAUUGUUGUAUAAGUUUAUUUUGUGCAUCUUGUUGUAUAUGCAUGUAUUUUUCUUUGAUAGUGUCCCUUUUGAUCAUAUACUUUAGAAGACAAUCGAACAUGCUUGAAGGAUAAAGUUUUCAUACCUUUCCCCAUCAUGCACCCCUAGUGAUUUAACUAACUCCUCUCAUUUUAGUUGAUAUGGUCAAUCCAAAGGGCCUGAAAACCCAGCUGUCUUUAGUUACUUUUGGUGUUGUUUUUGGUCAUUACACCAGGAAAGCUUUAAACCAUUGAUAUAUGCUUUGAUUAUUAGUAUAAUAGUAAUUAGGCAUCUGUUUGUUAUUAUGAUUGGGGUAUCAAACUAUUUAGAAUGUAUUUGACCUUGCUAUUUAUAGUGCACACAGAUCAUUAUAAGUUUGAUAGAAGUUCUGUUGCCAUUCUGGAUUUUAAGUCUUUCAAGCUUUAUUUUUGUUCUUUUGAGCAUAUCGUCCUCUGUCGCUGAUGAUCUAAAACAGUCUUGAAUUCAAGAUAAUGGGGUCAUCUAAGAACAGAUAUAGAUCAGAAUAAUCGAGGCCAAACAAGUACAAGAGGUUGGGGUAAAUCAUUGGCCUGCUUACUUUAUGUGGGAUGCAUGAUCUAGAAUCCAAGCCAGUAUUGCUAUGCUCCUGCAAUGAUAACUCUGUUCGUGCA